CGGAUCUCUUAAAGCUGUUCUCAGUUCGGACUGCAGUCUGCAACUCGACUGCACGAAGCUGGAAUCGCUAGUAAUCGCGGAUCAGCACGCCGCGGUGAAUACGUUCCCGGGCCUUGUACACACCGCCCGUCACACCAUGGAAGUCUGCAAUGCCCGAAGCCGGUGGCCUAACCACUUAUGUGGAAGGAGCCGUCUAAGGCAGGGCAGAUGACUGGGGUGAAGUCGUAACAAGGUACC
RNAcentral lists this ribosomal RNA (237 nucleotides) under uncultured bacterium. RNAcentral's name for it is "partial 16S ribosomal RNA". It matches the Rfam family "Bacterial small subunit ribosomal RNA", at positions 1268 to 1500 of the family's 1533-position model. The record is from RNAcentral.